This is a non-coding RNA of Schistosoma rodhaini, 45 nucleotides long. The record is from Rfam. NCBI's taxonomy places the organism in Eukaryota, Metazoa, Platyhelminthes, Trematoda, Strigeidida, Schistosomatidae.
ACCCAGCUGACGAGUCCCAAGUAGAACGGAACGCUCGUCCUGGAU